Molecule: ribosomal RNA, 301 nt
Filed under: uncultured bacterium
Lineage: Bacteria
Description: partial 16S ribosomal RNA
Rfam family: Bacterial small subunit ribosomal RNA
Source: RNAcentral
CAGCGCCACGGUAGUACGGAGGGUGCAAGCGUUAAUCGGAAUUACUGGGCGUAAAGCGCACGCAGGCGGUCUGACAAGUCAGAUGUGAAAUCCCCGGGCUUAACCUGGGAACUGCAUUUGAAACUGUCAGGCUGGAGUCUUGUAGAGGGGGGUGGAAUUCCAGGUGUAGCGGUGAAAUGCGUAGAGAUCUGGAGGAAUACCGGUGGCGAAGGCGGCCCCCUGGACAAAGACUGACGCUCAGGUGCGAAAGCGUGGGGAGCAAACAGGAUUAGAGACCCGCGUAGUCCCUGUCUCUUAUACC